AGUGAACGCUGGCGGCAUGCCUAACACAUGCAAGUCGAGCGACAGCACGGUGAGCUUUUGCUCCUACGGUUGGCGGCUGACGGGUGGGUGACACGUGCAUCAGCAUCUUCUUUUUCGUGGGUAACAACGUGGGGCCGCUUCCGCUACUACAGCAUACGUCCUACGGCUUGAAUCAGUGGAUCUUCGCAGCUUUCGUGAUUCAAUUAGCCGAAGCCGCAUUAGCUAGUUGGCUGGGUAAGGGCACACCAAGGCGACGAUGCGUAGCUGAUCUGAGAGGAUGAUCAGCCACACUGGAACUGAGACACGGUCCAGACUCCUACGGGAGGCAGCAGUGGGGAAUAUUCGACAAUGGGCGCAAGCCUGACCGAGCCACACCGCGUGAGUGAAGAAGGUCUUCGGAUCGUAAAGCUCUGUUGUUGGGGAAGAACAGAUGUGGAUUUAACCCCCGCCGUUCUGACGGUACCUAAACAGUAAGCACCGGCUAACUUCGUG
RNAcentral lists this ribosomal RNA (492 nucleotides) under uncultured bacterium. RNAcentral describes it as "partial 16S ribosomal RNA". It matches the Rfam family "Bacterial small subunit ribosomal RNA", at positions 29 to 507 of the family's 1533-position model. The record is from RNAcentral.